This 169-nucleotide ribosomal RNA is filed under the name Paraclostridium sordellii. Its description in RNAcentral is "partial 23S ribosomal RNA". It matches the Rfam family "Bacterial large subunit ribosomal RNA", at positions 2754 to 2925 of the family's 2925-position model. The record is from RNAcentral. Lineage: Bacteria; Bacillati; Bacillota; Clostridia; Peptostreptococcales; Peptostreptococcaceae.
UACGGAAUGGAUAAGCGCUGAAAGCAUCUAAGCGCGAAGCCAACUUCAAGAUAAGAUUUCCCACCGUAAGGGUAAGAUCCCAGGGAGACUACCUGGUUGAUAGGUCAAAGGUGUAAGUGCAGCAAUGUAUGUAGCUUAUUGAUACUAAUAGAUCGAGGACUUGACCAAG